RNAcentral lists this unclassified non-coding RNA (2076 nucleotides) under Cyanidioschyzon merolae strain 10D. RNAcentral's name for it is "hypothetical transcript". Lineage: Eukaryota; Rhodophyta; Bangiophyceae; Cyanidiales; Cyanidiaceae. The record is from RNAcentral.
AGGAAUUCAUUGUUUUGGGGGGAGGGCUUCUACCAUCAAUGCUUUUGGCUGGCAUUUUCAGCGCCUGCUGCAACGGAAACGCGACAGUCUUCUCGAGUAAACGUGGAGCCACUGGGGCGCUUGCGCCUCUGGUAGUUUUGAAAGCUGCCUAGAGCGUUUACGCUUCUAGGGAUUCGCUCGCGGGCGUCUAGGGCUGCCCGACCGCCGGUCAGCGGAAGCAGGCCUCGGCAAGGCGAGGCGUUGGCUCCAGAGCUGACUCUAUGCACGCCUCAGACGUGCGAACUGUGCUGAGGGAUGUAGAUGGGCUGCUCUUUCAGCGGCCGCCGUGGAGAGUGCUCGCGAAAAUUCUUCGUCUAGAGCCCCGAAAUCAUCUCGUUGCCCAGAGCGUUGCCCCAAUUCCGGGGGAUUUUCCUGUUGCGUCGGUCGGUGCUUUUAUUCUCGAGGCCAUGGGGCAAAGUGGGCUCGCUCUGCUCCACGCGAGCUCGCAGCGCGUCUCCGGAACGAGCGUCGUGGCUCGAAUCAGUGGCUUCAAGUGGCCGCGAGACCUCCCCGCAGCUGUAGUCGAUCACGGAGUUGUGGUAGAGGUGAAGUUGGUGCGAGUGAGGGAGAGCGGGUUCGGACUUGUUCGCGCCACCAUAGCAAGCAACGCUGGACACUCGCUGCAUAUUGGACCAACCGAGAUACUGUACAAGAUGCUUUAAAACAAAAGCUCCUGCUCAAGACGAAUGCGACCUGUUCUGGAACAAUAUCUUUCUUGCACAUUUGACGUCGUGUACGUAAGCCGCUUCAGACGGAGCGUCUGUGCUCACGAUGGACUUGUAUCCGCGUCGGGUAUCCGCUGAAACCGAUACGCUUUGAUUUUUUCCCCAGAGAGCCAUGAAGAGCUCGAAUCGUAUUUCAUGGAAUGCUGAAAAUGAUAUGGGGCAGGACUCUUUGAUCGCUCGGAAUGUACGCAGACAUUCCAAAGCGGACGUCCUGAUGAAAUCUGCGGAGACUCAAAUACUGCUUUGGAAUUUACAGAUGCCAUGUUUAUCUGCGAGUCCAGCGUCUCACGCAGCGAUUCGUGCCCUAGUGAAACGCGACAUUAGAGGCGGUUUCUCCGUAGGCCGUGUCAGCAAGUAUCAUGUCACUAGUACAACUCGAAGCGAGGUCGCAGAGGAAACGCGUUCAUUGCAACAUGUGAGCGCUUCGCAGACCUGCAGGCGAGUGUGCUCAACACGAUAUAGUGCCCCGCCUCUCCACCUGGGCCUCUGCGAACGUAACGCGAUUUCACAAGUUCCCCGAGAAGGCCAGGGGCAGUCCAGGAUCGAUAUCCCCGACGCAUGCGUUCCAUACGGGUUGAAGGCGCCAUGUCCCAAAGUUCUUGUCCCAAAUCGUGGCGCAUUCUGCUAAGCUAAGGCGAAAAUGCUCACGAAAUCCCUGUUGGAAGCUAUUCCGCUUCACCACGACUCUGCCGACUGCAAUGAACCGGAGAGUCGCAUGCCACGAAAACGUAUUCGCUCGGGGUUACGUUUGCGCAUUACACCCGCGGGGCCAUAAACGCAUCCGGCAUUCGUUCCACGGUGUACUUGUGCUGCGCGAUGUACAUAAUAGGCACACCGGGAAUUUUCCGCAACCGUCGCCGCAAAUCCCGAUCGCAGGUGGCGACGAUGAAUACACGAUGGGCCAUAACCCGCUCAACUAUGCAAUCAUCUGCAUAAGUCCCUUUGUGUGUGCACUUGAGGCGCUGCACCAGCGAAGCGUCUCUGACAAUACGCAGUGCUACGCGGUACUUGCGUCCGAGCUUCUCGAGUUCUGCAACAACACAGUCCGUCACACAAGCUUUCGCGGGGGCAAACAGGCAAUCCAUUAGACCCUUUUGAAGAUCGAUUCGGUUCUGAAUAGAAAAAUUGAUGAAGUUUGUGUCGAUAAGCACUCGAAAGGGUGGCCCGAGCGCCGUGUUGUACUGAAAGAACAGCUCUGGAGGCACUGCGCCCAGGCGCUCCUCAUCGCGAGGUCGCUGAACAAGUGGUGCCAGCUUUUCUUUAGAUUUUUCCUUCUGAAUAAUCCGCUCAUCCUUUGGAUUCAAAACUCUCG